RNAcentral lists this ribosomal RNA (732 nucleotides) under uncultured Gammaproteobacteria bacterium. Its description in RNAcentral is "bacterial SSU rRNA". It matches the Rfam family "Bacterial small subunit ribosomal RNA", at positions 47 to 774 of the family's 1533-position model. The record is from RNAcentral. Lineage: Bacteria; Pseudomonadati; Pseudomonadota; Gammaproteobacteria.
CCUAACACAUGCAAGUCGAGCGGUAGAGAGAAGCUUGCUUCUCUUGAGAGCGGCGGACGGGUGAGUAAUGCCUAGGAAUCUGCCUGGUAGUGGGGGAUAACGUUCGGAAACGGACGCUAAUACCGCAUACGUCCUACGGGAGAAAGCAGGGGACCUUCGGGCCUUGCGCUAUCAGAUGAGCCUAGGUCGGAUUAGCUAGUUGGUGGGGUAAUGGCUCACCAAGGCGACGAUCCGUAACUGGUCUGAGAGGAUGAUCAGUCGCACUGGAACUGAGACACGGUCCAGACUCCUACGGGAGGCAGCAGUGGGGAAUAUUGGACAAUGGGCGAAAGCCUGAUCCAGCCAUGCCGCGUGUGUGAAGAAGGUCUUCGGAUUGUAAAGCACUUUAAGUUGGGAGGAAGGGCAGUAAAUUAAUACUUUGCUGUUUUGACGUUACCGACAGAAUAAGCACCGGCUAACUCUGUGCCAGCAGCCGCGGUAAUACAGAGGGUGCAAGCGUUAAUCGGAAUUACUGGGCGUAAAGCACGCGUAGGUGGUUCGUUAAGUUGGAUGUGAAAUCCCCGGGCUCAACCUGGGAACUGCAUUCAAAACUGACGAGCUAGAGUAUGGUAGAGGGUGGUGGAAUUUCCUGUGUAGCGGUGAAAUGCGUAGAUAUAGGAAGGAACACCAGUGGCGAAGGCGACCACCUGGACUGAUACUGACACUGAGGUGCGAAAGCGUGGGGAGCAAACA